UGCGUAGGCGGGCAGAUAAGUCAGUGGUGAAAUCCCCGAGCUUAACUUGGGAACUGCCAUUGAUACUAUUUGUCUUGAAUGUCGUGGAGGUUAGCGGAAUAUGUCAUGUAGCGGUGAAAUGCUUAGAUAUGACAUAGAACACCUAUUGCGAAGGCAGCUAACUACGCGGAUAUUGACGCUGAGGCACGAAAGCGUGGGGAUCAAACA
This 207-nucleotide ribosomal RNA is filed under the name uncultured bacterium. Its description in RNAcentral is "partial 16S ribosomal RNA". It matches the Rfam family "Bacterial small subunit ribosomal RNA", at positions 568 to 774 of the family's 1533-position model. The record is from RNAcentral.